GUGUUCGCUUCGGGAGCACAUAUAGUAAAACUGGAAUGAUACAGAGAAGAUUAGCAUAGCCCCUGCGCAAGGAUGGCAUGCAAAUUCAUGAAGCGUUACAUAUUUUU
Small nuclear RNA from Cebus imitator (Panamanian white-faced capuchin), 107 nucleotides. The record is from Ensembl. NCBI's taxonomy places the organism in Eukaryota, Metazoa, Chordata, Mammalia, Primates, Cebidae.